AUAUAUUUUUUUAAAUAUCUUUCAAGUUUUUGUUGGUGUACCUCUGGAUAUUUGUGAGAUUUUGAGGCAAGAACAGCCAAAAAACCGUCUAAUCUGCAAACUGAAUGGCUACGUUCGGCACUACGUCUGCAACUGCAAAUCCAAAUCCCAAUCGUUCCACUGAGGUGGUGCAACCUCCUAGUGAUUCAGUGUCAACCCUUUGUUCCAGUCCCAAGGCAAAUGUGCUGGUUGCAACUUCGUGGGAUAAUCAGGUCAUUUUCUUGCCUCAAUUGAAUUUUCAUCGUUGUUUUUUCUACUUGCUAAUUGGGCAUUUUGUUUUGAUCUUAUCUGAGAAAGUGAUUAGGGGAAAAUUGUCCUCGUGGUUUAAUUGUUGGAGAUAUUUUCAAUGGUGCUAGUUUGUGAUAUUACCCUACGUUUGUGACAUGACCUAUUCAGGCCUCAAAUUUUCAUUUAUGAAAUUUUAAUUCAAGUUUGAGGGGAAAAAUUUAUAAUUUCAAUGCCAUGGCCGCAAAUCUAU
Long non-coding RNA from Olea europaea var. sylvestris, 517 nucleotides. RefSeq lists it as uncharacterized. Lineage: Eukaryota; Viridiplantae; Streptophyta; Magnoliopsida; Lamiales; Oleaceae. The record is from RefSeq and is a predicted model, not a curated record. The transcript is spliced from 3 exons.